AGUUUAUUUGAAUAAUACAUCCGUAUAAUCUCAAUAAUUGGUUUGAGAGUUUCUACCAAGGUACCGUAAAAUCUUGACUAUGGGUGAAUCAGAAUAGAUA
RNAcentral lists this non-coding RNA (100 nucleotides) under Clostridium acidisoli. RNAcentral describes it as "Guanine sequence". It matches the Rfam family "Purine riboswitch aptamer". From Rfam's summary of the family: Riboswitches are metabolite binding domains within certain messenger RNAs that serve as precision sensors for their corresponding targets. The record is from RNAcentral. RNAcentral also lists the same sequence under 1 other name. Lineage: Bacteria; Bacillati; Bacillota; Clostridia; Eubacteriales; Clostridiaceae.